Non-coding RNA from Camellia sinensis, 951 nucleotides. Lineage: Eukaryota; Viridiplantae; Streptophyta; Magnoliopsida; Ericales; Theaceae. The record is from RefSeq and is a predicted model, not a curated record.
CCACGCCUCUCGAAAAAAGCUCCUCAUCAAAAUUCCAUGGCGGAGGAGGAGGAUGUCCCUGAUCGGAACCUUUGGUUCUUCGUGGCGGUUCACGUCGGCGAGGGUUUUCACGCGCCGUCGAACGAGAAAGCUCUCAGGUCCGCCAUGAAACGUGCCUGCCUCGCUGCUGCUUCUGUUCUUCGCAAGGUGAUCCAAGCACAAAUGCUGGGCGUGGCUCAAAUUUGACUGAAGAUGGUCAUGUGGAAUGUGAUGCCAGUAUCAUGGAUGGUGAUUCUAGGGGCAUUUGGGGCUGUUUGAGCGGUGCCAGUUAAUAAUUAGUAGGUGUCUGAAAUGGUAUCCAAGUUGCUGCUUUGUUGGCCAAGGAACAAAUGUUGGGGUCAGCACUGCUGGGUCGAAUAGCUCCCAUGUAUGAAUAAACCUGUGUUUAUCUUUGAAUUUUGAUAUACAAAUUACCUCUUUAUGGCAGCAUUGUCACAGUACUUAUUAUUUAUUUCUUGGGGAUUUUUCAUUGGGAAUUAUGAGUCGUGCAACAUUAUUUUGUUAGGGAUGUUACGUACUGCAUACUAUGUGUUAAUAGUGAAUAUGAAUCUGCCUUCUACACAUGUUUAGUGCUUGUAAAAAUCAAAUCAAGUGAAACCAUGAAGGGUAAUGGGUGAAAUUAGUUACAGUGAUUUGGUCUUUGAGUCAAAAAUUGAAAGAAAUGAUUUAUUGAGGAGUCCAUUCCAAGUUUCUGAUAAAUUAGUUUCUUACUUCAACAUCAUGCCAAAUUGGAUUUCCUCUUUUUCUUGGCUAUACUGGUGAUCCUUGGUGAGGAGUUAGUGUAUCUCACUAGGGCAUGCCAUUUGUUGUCCUCCCUCAGAUUUUUGUUUUCUUAUGAGGCAUUUUUUUGUGUUUCCUAGCUUCUUGGUUGGUAAAGGUGCAUGUAUGUGGGCAAAAUCCAAGCGUAUUCCU